AUUGAACGCUGGCGGCAGGCCUAACACAUGCAAGUCGAACGGUAGCACAGAGAGCUUGCUCUCGGGUGACGAGUGGCGGACGGGUGAGUAAUGUCUGGGAAACUGCCCGAUGGAGGGGGAUAACUACUGGAAACGGUAGCUAAUACCGCAUAACGUCGCAAGACCAAAGUGGGGGACCUUCGGGCCUCACACCAUCGGAUGUGCCCAGAUGGGAUUAGCUAGUAGGUGGGGUAAUGGCUCACCUAGGCGACGAUCCCUAGCUGGUCUGGGAGGAUGACCAGCCACACUGGGAGAGAGACACGGUCCAGACUCCUACGGGAGGCAGCAGUGUGGAAUAUUGCACAAUGGGCGCAAGCCUGAUGCAGCCAUGCCGCGUGUAUGAAGAAGGCCUUCGGGUUGUAAAGUACUUUCAGCGGGGAGGAAGGCGGUGAAGUUAACAGCUUCACCGAUUGACGUUACCCGCAGAAGAAGCACCGGCUAACUCCGUUCCAGCCGCCGCAGUAA
Molecule: ribosomal RNA, 504 nt
Filed under: uncultured bacterium
Lineage: Bacteria
Description: partial 16S ribosomal RNA
Rfam family: Bacterial small subunit ribosomal RNA
Source: RNAcentral